GAUGAACGCUGGCGGCGUGCCUAAUACAUGCAAGUAGAACGCUGAAGCUUGGUGCUUGCACCGAGCGGAUGAGUUGCGAACGGGUGAGUAACGCGUAGGUAACCUACCUCUUAGCGGGGGAUAACUAUUGGAAACGAUAGCUAAUACCGCAUAAAAGUCGACAUUGCAUGAUGUUGACUUGAAAGGUGCAAAUGCAUCACUAAGAGAUGGACCUGCGUUGUAUUAGCUAGUUGGUGAGGUAACGGCUCACCAAGGCGACGAUACAUAGCCGACCUGAGAGGGUGAUCGGCCGCACUGGGACUGAGACACGGCCCAGACUCCUACGGGAGGCAGCAGUAGGGAAUCUUCGGCAAUGGACGGAAGUCUGACCGAGCAACGCCGCGUGAGUGAAGAAGGUUUUCGGAUCGUAAAGCUCUGUUGUAAGAGAAGAACGAGUGUGAGAGUGGAAAGUUCACAC
This 457-nucleotide ribosomal RNA is filed under the name Streptococcus parasanguinis. RNAcentral's name for it is "bacterial SSU rRNA". It matches the Rfam family "Bacterial small subunit ribosomal RNA", at positions 28 to 469 of the family's 1533-position model. Lineage: Bacteria; Bacillati; Bacillota; Bacilli; Lactobacillales; Streptococcaceae. The record is from RNAcentral.